RNAcentral lists this ribosomal RNA (500 nucleotides) under uncultured bacterium. RNAcentral's name for it is "partial 16S ribosomal RNA". It matches the Rfam family "Bacterial small subunit ribosomal RNA", at positions 30 to 523 of the family's 1533-position model. The record is from RNAcentral.
AUUGAACGCUGGCGGCAUGCCUUACACAUGCAAGUCGAACGGCAGCACGGGAGCAAUCCUGGUGGCGAGUGGCGAACGGGUGAGUAAAGUAUCGGAACGUGCCCAGUCGUGGGGGAUAACGUAGCGAAAGUUACGCUAAUACCGCAUACGAUCUAUGGAUGAAAGCGGGGGAUCGCAAGACCUCGCGCGAUCGGAGCGGCCGAUAUCAGAUUAGGUAGUUGGUGGGGUAAAGGCUACCCAAGCCGACGAUCUGUAGCUGGUCUGAGAGGACGACCAGCAACACUGGGACUGAGACACGGCCCAGACUCCUACGGGAGGCAGCAGUGGGGAAUUUUGGACAAUGGGCGAAAGCCUGAUCCAGCCAUGCCGCGUGCAGGAUGAAGGCCUUCGGGUUGUAAACUGCUUUUGUACGGAACGAAAAGGUUUGGCCUAAUAAGCUGAGCUCAUGACGGUACCGUAAGAAUAAGCACCGGCUAACUACGUGCCAGCCGCCGCGGUAA